RNAcentral lists this long non-coding RNA (613 nucleotides) under Musa acuminata (dwarf banana). RNAcentral's name for it is "long non-coding RNA (MACU_LNC007597)". Lineage: Eukaryota; Viridiplantae; Streptophyta; Magnoliopsida; Zingiberales; Musaceae. The record is from RNAcentral.
AGCCACCACAGCCGCAGCCUCUUCUUCCUCCCCUGCUCUAUUUCCUCUCCUUCUCUUCCAGCUGUAGCUGCCACAGCCGCAGCUGCCUCCCCUUCUCAUCUUCCUCUCUUCUUCCCUUUUCCUUUCUCUUCUUCUUCCUUUCCUUCUCUUCUUUCCCAGUUGCACUGCUGCAGUCGCAGCCUCAGCCACGGCCGCAGCCUCUUCUUCCUCCCCUGCUUAUCUUCCUUUCCUUCUUCUCUUCCAACUGCAGCUGCCAUCGCCGUAGCCGCAGCCCCUUCUUCCCCUUCUCUUCUUCCUCUUCUUCCCUUCUUCCUUCCUCUUCCUCUUUCCCUGCCACAACUGCAGCUGCCACAGCUGCAGCCGCAGCUACUUCUUUCCCUUCUCCUCUUCCUUCUCCUUCCUUUCUUCUUCUUCUCUUCUUCUCCUUCCUCCCCUUCUUCUCCUUCCUCCCCUUCUUCUCCCCGACGAACAGCACCUCCUCUCCUCUGUUUCCUCCUGCAGGAAACAGAGGUGCCGCCUCUUUACCCGCUUCUACUUCUUCUCUUCCUCUUCUUCAUCUUCUCCUUCUUCUCCUUCUUCUUCUCCUCUUCUUCCCUUCUCCUACCUGACACCC